This 64-nucleotide transfer RNA is filed under the name Toxodera sp. RNAcentral's name for it is "tRNA-His". The record is from RNAcentral. Lineage: Eukaryota; Metazoa; Arthropoda; Insecta; Mantodea; Toxoderidae.
ACUUAAGUAGUUUAAUAUAAAAUAAUGAUUUGUGGUAUCAUAGAUGUAAAAUUUAUCUUAGGUU